Arabidopsis lyrata subsp. lyrata is the source of this 152-nucleotide small nuclear RNA. It matches the Rfam family "U4 spliceosomal RNA". Rfam says of the family: U4 small nuclear RNA (U4 snRNA) is a component of the major U2-dependent spliceosome. The structure of U4 snRNA from yeast and human has been reported. The record is from Rfam. Lineage: Eukaryota; Viridiplantae; Streptophyta; Magnoliopsida; Brassicales; Brassicaceae.
AUCUUUGCGCUUGGGGCAAUGACGCAGCUAAUGAGGUUCUAACCGAGGCGCGUCUAUUGCUGGUUGAAAACUAUUUCCAAACCCCCUCAUGGGCUUGGGCUCGACCUAUGGCCUUUGAGAAUUUUUAGAAGGGUUCCUUUCGGGGUAAAGCC